AUUGAACGCUGGCGGCAUGCUUUACACAUGCAAGUCGAACGGCAGCGCGGGGGCAACCCUGGCGGCGAGUGGCGAACGGGUGAGUAAUGCAUCGGAACGUAUCCUGUAAUGGGGGGAUAACGUAGCGAAAGUUACGCUAAUACCGCAUACGCUCGAGAGAGGAAAGUGGGGGAUCGCAAGACCUCACGUUAUAGGAGCGGCCGAUGUCCGAUUAGCUAGUUGGUGGGGUAAAGGCCUACCAAGGCGACGAUCGGUAGCUGGUCUGAGAGGAUGAUCAGCCACACUGGGACUGAGACACGGCCCAGACUCCUACGGAGGCAGCAGUGGGGAAUUUUGGGACAAUGGGCGAAAGCCUGAUCCAGCCAUGCCGCGUGCGGGAA
Molecule: ribosomal RNA, 380 nt
Filed under: uncultured bacterium
Lineage: Bacteria
Description: bacterial SSU rRNA
Rfam family: Bacterial small subunit ribosomal RNA
Source: RNAcentral